RNAcentral lists this ribosomal RNA (236 nucleotides) under uncultured bacterium. RNAcentral's name for it is "partial 16S ribosomal RNA". It matches the Rfam family "Bacterial small subunit ribosomal RNA", at positions 71 to 305 of the family's 1533-position model. The record is from RNAcentral.
CCCUUUAGUUUACUAUAGGUGUCCUAGUGGCAGACGGGUGAGUAACGCGUGAACAAUGUGCCUCUUUGCCGGGGAUACCGUCUCGAAAGGGACGUUAAUACCGGAUGUGAUAGUUUGGUGGCAUCACCGAAUUAUUAAACUGUUAGGGUGAAGAGAGCAGUUCGCGUUCUAUCAGUUAGAUGGUGGGGUAACGGCCUACCAUGACGACGACGGAUAACUGGUCUGAGAGGAUGAUC